Molecule: microRNA precursor, 96 nt
Organism: Anolis carolinensis (green anole)
Lineage: Eukaryota; Metazoa; Chordata; Lepidosauria; Squamata; Anolidae
Gene: aca-mir-128-1
Product: aca-mir-128-1
Source: Ensembl
CAGCAAUGUACAGUUGGAAGGGGGGCCGUUACACUGUAAGAGAGUGAGUAGCAGGUCUCACAGUGAACCGGUCUCUUUUCCUACUGUGUCACAUCU